UGAACCAGUGAAAAGAAUGUAUCAGAAACCAGAGAUUAUGAAAAACCUAGUUUUGUAUACCUGAAGUCCAUA
RNAcentral lists this small nucleolar RNA (72 nucleotides) under Mustela putorius furo (domestic ferret). RNAcentral describes it as "Small nucleolar RNA SNORD112 (ENSMPUG00000023737.1)". The record is from RNAcentral. Lineage: Eukaryota; Metazoa; Chordata; Mammalia; Carnivora; Mustelidae.